This 101-nucleotide transfer RNA is filed under the name Chaetomium globosum CBS 148.51. It matches the Rfam family "tRNA". From Rfam's summary of the family: Transfer RNA (tRNA) molecules are approximately 80 nucleotides in length. The record is from Rfam by way of RNAcentral. Lineage: Eukaryota; Fungi; Ascomycota; Sordariomycetes; Sordariales; Chaetomiaceae.
GGGAGCUUGGCUCAGUUGGAAGAGCGCAGGUCUCAUACUUGUAUGAUUCGGUGACAAAUCGAAAUAUCCUGAGGUCGUGAGUUCGAGCCUCACAGUUCCCA